Molecule: ribosomal RNA, 164 nt
Filed under: uncultured bacterium
Lineage: Bacteria
Description: partial 16S rRNA
Rfam family: Bacterial small subunit ribosomal RNA
Source: RNAcentral
UGGGGAAUAUUGCACAAUGGGCGCAAGCCUGAUGCAGCCAUGCCGCGUGUAUGAAGAAGGCCUUCGGGUUGUAAAGUACUUUCAGCGGGGAGGAAGGUGUUGUGGUUAAUAACCGCAGCAAUUGACGUUACCCGCAGAAGAAGCACCGGCUAACUCCGUGCCGG